GCCUUCAUCGUCUCUCUUCUCUACUUGUUCUCAGACUUUCAUGCCAAGAGUUACUCCACCAAUGCCAAGGUCUUCAAGGGUAACUAAUAAUUAAUUAAACUACCUUUUCUUUUCUUUUCUUUUCGUUUUCAUUUUUAUAUGUAGUUAUUGUUUCAGAGUGAUUCAUCAGUUGAAGAAAAAAAUGAACAUAAUUGUCAUAAAUUCCUUUUACGAUUUCAAUUCUUCGGUGUGCAUAUGUAUCUUAAUAUCAAUUAAUUGAAGAGAUUCAUUGUUAAUUUAUAUUUUAUGUUUUUACUAUAAAUGCAUGAUUAAACAGUUCCUGCUGUUGCAGAAGCGACGAUAAUAUUAAUAACAAUAUUAUCAGAAAUAUUUAGAUAAUUAUUAUGCCGACAAUUAUACUAAGAAAAUUCCCAGUUAAAUUGGAGGGGUCACAAAUGGUCCCGCUUAAAACCCAACAACUAGACAGAACUCACUUAGAUAUUUAUAGCAAUAAUAACUAAAUAAAUAUAACCAACAUAAAGCUAUUAAAUAUAAGCAAACAACUAAGAAAUAAAAUACCAGAGUUUUAACGAGGUUCGGCCAAUUUAACUUACGUCCUCGGACACUACCAAAUUAAUAUUUCCUCUAGAAAUAUUACAAUAGAGAAGAUUAACACCAAGUUACAAUUAGCUACUUGGAUUUUUGGAAUGAUAAAACCUAAGGGGGAAGGGUUCUAUAUAUAACAAACCAAACCCCCUCCCUUUCUAUCUUUUCCUAAUGUGGGAUAUUGCCAAUAUUCAACAAAUCUCCACCUUGGUGAUAUUCCACAUCUUCGAACAUCUUCUCAUAACACAAACUUCAAUAGUGUCUUCAAAUUUGCAACCAAUCGCCUUCUUCCCUUUUGGUAGUUGUGCCAGUUUCCACGUCUUGUUUUUCUCUAGAGAUUGCAUUUCCUCUUCCAUUGCACCUAACCAUCUAUUAUUCUCUAAAUUUUGAAUGGCUUCGGUGUAAGUGGAUGGAAUAUUAUCAACAACUGGAAGUGCAUAAGCUACCAUGUCAGUGAAACGAGCAGGUUUCUGAAUUUCUCGUCUCUGCCUUCUGACUGCAAUUGGCUCUGAUUGCUGUUGAGGUUCUUGGGUAGAAACCUCUUCCUCAUCUGACUCUGCAUCUGCCAAUGAAGAAUCACUAGUGGUACCUUCUGCUGGAAUUACCACUCUCUGCUCAAACUCCACCUGCUGCGGAGUACACUUCACCUGCUGCGAAGUACUACUCGAAGUACUACUCACUCCUUCUGGAUUUACCUUAUUCAACAUGGCAGAUUCAUCAAAGGUAACAUCCCUACUGAUUAUCGUCUUCUUUGCCUCUAGACACCACAAACGAUACCCCUUAACACCAGCAUUGAAGCCCAUGAAUAGAGCCUUCUUUGCUCUUGGAUCUAACUUUGAUUCUUUCACAUGAUAAUAUGCAAUAGAACCAAAAAUACGCAAGGUGUCAUAAUCAGUAGCAGGUUUUCCAUACCAUUUCUCCAAAGGAGUCUUGCCAUUUAUAGCAGAUGAUGGCAAAUGAUUGAUGAGAUGUUGAGCGUACGUCACAGCCUCAGCCCAAAACUUUCUAUCUAAUCCAGCAUUAGAUAACAUACAUCGAACUUUCUCCACAAGCGUUCGAUUCAUACGCUCUGCCACCCCAUUCUGUUGCGGUGUUCCACCUACGGUGAAGUGCCUUACUAUGCCACAAUCUUGGCAUAUCUUCAGGAAUGGAUCGCUUUUAUAUUCUCCACCAUUGUCUGAUCGGAGAACCUUAAUCUUCCUUCCUGUCUGAUUUUCAAUUUUAGUUUUCCACUUAAGGAAAACUUCAAGCACCUCAUCUUUGUUCUUCAUAGGAAACACCCAAACUCGUCUGGAAAAAUCAUCAAUAAAGGUGACAAAAUAACGUCUUCCUCCAAGUGAUGGAGUCUUGGACGGUCCCCAUACAUCAAAAUGCACAUAAUCCAGAAUACCUUUAGUAUUGUGAAUCCCAGUGCCAAAUUUCACCCUUCGUUGUUUUCCCAGAACACAAUGCUCGCAAAAUUCAAGUUUGCAAGUCUUUGUACCUUUCAAUAAUCCUUGCUUGGCUAGAGUUUGCAAGGAUUUUUCACCAGCAUGGCCCAAACGCAUAUGCCACAGCUGUGUUGCCUCAGCGUCCUUCUUGGUACUCGAAAUUGCUGCUGCUGUUGCCCCGACCACUGUACUACCUUGGUAGUAAUACAGAUUGUUCUUUCUUAUGCCUUUCAACAUCACCAAUGCUCCUGAAGUUGCUUUAAGAACUCCAUCUCGUAUUGUCACAACUAGGCCUUUAGAUUCUAACGACCCCAAAGAGAUGAGAUUCUUCUUCAACUUUGGGACAUAUCGUACAUCCCGCAAAAUUCUAGUAGAUCCAUCAUGACUCCUCAGUUUAAUUGAACCUAUCCCGGCUAUUUUACAUGUGUUAUCAUUACCCAUGUAAACAACCCCUCCAUCUAGUUUUUGAAAUUCAAAGAACCAUUCCCAAAUGGGACACAUAUGAUAGGAACAACCAGAAUCCAUGAUCCACUCAUCUGCAUGUGAUGUUGAAGAUGUCAUACUAAGAGAAAAGUCUGACUCUGCUUCACUAUUGCAUUCUGCAACAUUUGCAUCUUGCGGAGUCUUCCAUUUUUUCUUCAAUUUUGGACAAUCUUUCUUCCAAUGUCCUUUUUCUUUGCAAAAGGAACAUUCAUCUUUGGCAACAGCUCGACCUUUGGACUUUCUUCUCUUCCUCUUAGACUGACUUUCCUGACGAUCUCUUGUUAACAAUGCUUCCACUGCUGCUUCACUUGAACCUUUCAACUUAUCCUUUCGGCGUAGUUCAUAGCUAUACAAUGCAGCAGUUACUUCAUUGAAAGUUACUUCCGACUUUCUAUGAAGUAAAGUAGUUUCAAGGUACUCAAACUCCUUUGGAAGCGAUCCCAACAACAUAAACGCCAAGUCUUCGUCUUCAAAAGUCACAUCCAAAUUCAACAAAUCAACCACCAGCUGAUUAAAAUUGGUAAUGUGCUCAUUCAUCGUGGUACCAGGAACAUAACUGAAACGAAACAGUCUUUUCUUCAUAUGCAACUUAUUUUGACUGUUCUUCUUCAGGAAUUUCUCCUCCAAUGCUUUCUACAAUUUACUUGCAGAAGUCUCUUUACUGAAUAUAUACUUCUGCUCUCUGGAAAGACAUGAUCGAAUUGUACCACAUGCCAAUCGGUUGAUGGUCUUCCAUUCUUUAUCAUCAACCCCUUCUGGUUUUUCUUCCUCAAUGGCAAUAUCUAGACCUUGUUGAAAGAAGGCAUCUAGAAGCUCACUUUGCCACAUGCCGAAAUGACCUAUUCCAUCAAAAAUUUCCACUGCAAAUCUCGUAUUUGCAAUUCCAACCCUCGACAAAAUGUACGAAGUGGAAGUUGUUGAUAUGGAUGGUUUUUCUUCUGUCAUUUUUGCCAUAGCUUCUAUUUAAUAGCCACCAAAUGCGGAAUACCCACAAGCUUUAGGAAAUGUUUCUGAUGUGUAAGAUCAGACUAAGCUGCAAACACAGAGCAUACUACAAAACCUUGGCUCGGAUACCAAUUGUUGCAGAAGCGACGAUAAUAUUAAUAACAAUAUUAUCAAAAAUAUUUAGAUAAUUAUUAUGCCGACAAUUAUACUAAGAAAAUUCCCAGUUAAAUUGGAGGGGUCACAAAUGGUCCCGCUUAAAACCCAACAACUAGACAGAACUCACUUAGAUAUUUAUAGCAAUAAUAACUAAAUAAAUAUAACCAACAUAAAGCUAUUAAAUAUAAGCAAACAACUAAGAAAUAAAAUACCAGAGUUUUAACGAGGUUCGGCCAAUUUAGCUUACGUCCUCGGACACUACCAAAUUAAUAUUUCAUCUAGAAAUAUUACAAUAGAGAAGAUCAACACCAAGUUACAAUUAGCUACUUGGAUUUUUGGGAUGAUAAAACCUAAGGGGGAAGGGUUCUAUAUAUAACAAACCAAACCCCCUCCCUUUCUAUCUUUUCCUAAUGUAGGAUAUUGCCAAUAUUCAACACCUGCUGCAUGCAAUUGUAUUAUAUUAUCGUUUCUAAUGACGAAGAAAAUGGAACAACCGUGAAGUGAAAAAAAAAAAGUUGAUGAGAAAAAUAAAUCAAGGCGGACAUAGAAAUUGUUGUCGCAGUCAACAUUAAAUAUGGUAAGCAGGUGAGUUAAUAAGUUUGACAGGUCCUCACCAAAAAUUAACUUCUCCCUUUUAUCGUCAUAUGUAUUAUUUAAGAUAUUGCAUGCUUUUGUCGUUUUCAUUACACCAAUAUUUUAUGUCUAGUAAGUUUUGGAACAACACCUCAUGAUUCAUCCAUUAAAUUCCAAUUUAGCGUUAUAUAAGUUUUUUUUUCUUAGAGAAUAUUAAGAAAAUCCAGUGUCAUAUAUACACAACAUGAAAUAAAUUUGGUAAUAAAAAAAAUUUGAGAGUAGGGCACCAAAUUAUAGUCCAGUAUUUCAAAUUAAUUUGGUUAUAAGGUCAACAAUCAAUUAUGCAAAUGAUGUAAACCUAAGACACUACUUUAUCACAUGUAUUGUUUCUACUGAUUAGUUUUAAUCAAUUGAAGUUAAUUGGAAAUAAAAUAAAGUAAUUGAUUAUGAAAUUGAUAGAGAUAACAGGUCAACCAAAUGAAUUAUUUUUCCUAUAUUAAAUUAUAAAACAUUCAAAAUGUAGUUAUGACACACGAAUAAGAUUUAUAUAAAAUAUAUAUAUUUAUUAAAAUUUUAUAUGAAAAUCAAAUCAAAUGAAAUUGAAGUUUUUAAAAUUAUAAUGUUUAUGGUGAAUUCAAGUAACAUCUAAAACAAUCAUUAAAAAAAUUGGAGAUUAAUAAGUUAGAAUUGUUUGGAGAGAUCUUACUCAAAAUAAAAAUUACUUUGACGAAAAUCAUAUUAUUAUAUUUUUUAAUAUGAAAGCUUCAAUCUUAUCAGAUUUAUAAUUUUACUUUAUAUUAUUUUUAAUUCAUAUUGUAAUUAUAAUUUAUAAUGAUAAUUAUUUAUUAUUUAUUAUUAUUUUAAAAUUUCAUAACCUUCGUUACUUACGGUUUGUUUAAGGUUACACACAAAAUUAAUGAAAAAUUAUAACCUCUGCUGCUUGAGGUUUGCUUAAGGUUGUUCACAAAAUUAAUGAAAAAAUUAUAACCUUCAUCACUUAUGACUUGUGUUAUAAAAGGUAAAAAAAUCAAGACAAAUCAAUUCAUCGUGUUUUUCUUCAUCAAAUCUGAUAGACGACUUCAAUUAAACAUUAGAUAAAUCUCUAUUGAUUUUAGUUUGCAUAAUACGAAAAACUUCAAUUUUUAAAUUUGAUCCAAUUUGAAUUUAAAUUUUAUUUAAUAAAAUAUUUAUAUGAUUUUAAAUUAGAAAAUAUAUUUAAAAAGUAAAAAAAUACAGAUUUAAUAUUAAAAUUAAAAAUUAAUGUUUUAACUUAAUUAAAUUUAAAUAUUAAUAUUUAAUUUGGUAAUUUUAAUAUAUUAAAAUCCCAAAUAAUUCUAUCUAUUAAUGUACAAUUACAAAUUAAAUCAACUUUAUGCUCAAAAUAAUUUUUUUAAUAUAUAUAUGAAUUAUAAAAAUAGAAUUGUUCUAAGUUUUAUUCCAAAAUCAAAGUGUUAAAAUGGGAUGCAUUUCUUAUAUUAAUAUUUUAUUUUCAUAUUAAAAUAAUAAAAUGUAAAUUAAAAUGAGUUGAAAUUUAAUAAAUAUUAAAUUACACUUUCUAAUUAACUCCAAUUGCAUAUUGAUUGUCAUUAGGAUUAUCUAAUCACAUUAUUUUUAUAAUACAAAUAUGAGAAAAUAUUUAGUACAUCAGUGAAAUUUUUAACUUUCACAAGUAAAGUUAGAGAGUUUAACAAGUUAUAGGGAUAGAGUAAAAUAUUAAAAAAAAAGAGAGUCAUAUAACAAAAUUUUAAAGUUGUUUGUGAAAUAAAUAAAAAAAUACACUACCACUAUAACAAAUACUAACCUUGCAAAUAUAUUUACAAUAUAAAAUGUUUUAAAACAUUAAGAGUAAAUUAAAAUAAUAAUAAUAAUGUGCAACGCGUGUGGGGCUAAAAACUAAUAUAUAUAAAAUACAAAGUAAAAAAAUGGACUAAACUAGGUUUAAGUUUUGAGUAUUAGAGUUCAAGCUUGAUUCAUAUUUUAAAUGAGUCUAAUAUUUUUAUCUAAAACUAUUUUUAAACUUCAUAAUUUUAUUCAAAUCUAUUUAUUAUAUAAAAUCAAAUUCUUUUGGGAGUCAUUAGGAAUUAAUAAGGAUAAUUUUGGUAGUAAAAGUUAAAGACAAUUAUAUAUUUUGGAAAAAAUAAUUAUUUUAAAAUUUAAUAAAACUAACUCCCUUUUAGUAAUUAGGAAUUAAUAAGCACAAUUUAGACAUUAAAAGUUUAGAUAAUUGAAAUUUUUUAAUUACUUAUUUUAAAAUUUUUUAUUCCAUUUUAAUUAUUUGUAUUUAAAUUGUUCUUUUAAGUCCAAAUGAAAUUAUUUAUGCUUAAUUCAUUAAUCUUUUACCAAAAUUUUUUUUUAAAAAUUUUUAAUAAUUUAAUAAUUUAAUUUUAAUAUAAAAAAUCUAUAUUCCAAGAAUUUACAUACCAAAAUGUAUAUAAAAAAUUUAGAUAGUAAGUUGAUGUUUUUAAAGGAAAAGGUGAGUAAAAAAUAAAAUAUUUUUAAGAUUAUUCAAAAGAUAAUAUCUGCAGUAGUAUCAGUAUCAGUAUCAGUAUCUAUAUGUAUUAAUAUCAUAUUUACUUUUGUUUUCUUCUAAAUUUAAAUUGGUUAGUUUCUUUAGUUUUACUUAAUAUAUUAUUAUUAAAAAAUUUAAUAAAUUUUCAAUUGAACUUUAAUUUCAGCUACACAUUUUGUAUAUGGUAAUAUUUGUUAUUAAGAAUAUUUGAUAUAUUAAUUAGCUUUUCAGUUACAAGUUUUUUUUGUAUAAAUAUUGUUCCAUCUUAUUAUUUUAUCCUAAUUUUCGUUUGAUCGUAAUUUUAUCUUAAUUUUUAAUUUUUUUUUCUCUACUAAGAGGUUAGUUUUUUAAAUGGAUACACGUGUUUACAUGCUAUUUUUAAAUAAAUUAUUAGUUUUUUUUAUCUAUUUCUUUGUUUUUCAAUGUCAAGCUCGAGUCUAAAACUUUUUUAUUUUUAAAUUGAGAGUAUAAUUUUUUUUCUAGUCUUCGUCGUAUUCUAACAUAAAAAAUUAAAAAUCCAUUAAUAACACUAUUUACUAAUAUUAUACAAAUAUAUAUCCAAAAUAGAUUACAAGAUUUCCUUUUAUGUCCAUUUUUAAUAUUUUUUUAUAAUAAUUCCAUGCAAGGGAAAAAUCAGGAUUUUAUUGUUUGAAGUUUAGAUAAAGCAUUUCUCUUUUCAAUUUUCUUACUCUUUUUUGUUGCACGUGAAAAAGUUAUUGGUGCUACCGCCCAGCUUUGGAUAUCAUUCUAUAUUUAAAUUGGGUAUAUUUCAUUUAUAUGAUUUGACAUGUUGAUGGCAUAUUUUAUAAAAUCAUAACAAUUUUCCAUAUAAGGUAAAAUUGUAUUUUAGAUAUCUAUUAUUGAUAGUAGUAAUUAAUUUUUUUGCUGGUAUUUUUUAAAGAGAUAAACGAUUAAUCAUGAAAUAUGCUCUAUUCUUAAUAAAGAGGCAAUGGAAGAAGAUUGUAUUUGAGUUGUUCGAUUAAAAAUUUUCAAAAUUGACUUGGAAAGAAGAAGUCAAAUAGAUUUAAAAAUAAUAAUAAAGAAAAAAAAUACAGAAACAACUAAAAGAAAAAAAUUAAGAACAAAGAAUAAAGAUUUAAAACAAUAAAUAAAUAAAACGAAAAUUAAAAAGUGGUUUAAAAAAUCGAUUGAUAUAAUAGCUAGAUGAAUAAGUGUCCAAUUGAACCAUUUGAGACAAAAAUCACAACAAAUUCAAUUAAUAACUCUAAUGGAACUCUAAUUAAUCUAAAUAAAAAAAAAUUAUAUGAUAAAGCAAGUUCUGAUGAAAAAUUCCUAUUACAUAGUGAGAUGACAAGUAAUGGAUUUUGAUAACAAUUUUUAUUAAAGUGGGAAGUGAUAAUGUAGUGAAUUAAUUUGGUAAAAGUUUUGUUCUUGUCAAGCCAUGAAAAGAUAAAAGUAAUAAAUUAUGGUAAUAAUGAAUCAUAUAAAUAUGGAAUUAUCUGUUAAUUAUUAAAAUAUGCUUUAUUAAGAUAUGUUCAAGAAUUAUAAUAGUAGUAAUUUUUUAUAUAUAGAGUUUAAGGUAAAAAAAAAGAGAUUAUUCCUGGGUACUUACUAAGCUUUUACAAGUGUAACGUGUGUUUUAAACACGUAGAUGGAAGAUCGAAUUAAAGCUCUAGAUUCAGGUUGAGAUUUCAACUCAUCUCAUCUCAUAACCAAGGUUUGAAGAGAGUACAAAUUUGAUAUUUUGGUUAUAGAAUAUGACAUGUACACAAGUUAUUGCCAGUGUUUUGAUAUUUUGAGUUUUAUAAUGAUUAGUUGACGUGAAAUAGUCGAAGUUGCUUCGGCAAUUAAUGUAACAUCUCAGUACUUUGACCCGAUGUUUGGGUCGGAUAUGAGGGUGUUACAUUGUUGGUAACUAUUUUGUAACUUUUCAUAAUUAGGUGACAAAAAAUUUCACUAAUAGUUAGAUAUUAAUUUUAUAAUUUUUCAUACUUGGGUGAACAAAAAGAAUUUACUAAUAGUUGAAGAAUUUACUAAUAGUUCAGUGAGUAAUAGUUUGAUUUACCCAAAAAUCUAUGUACUUACAAGUUACAAGAGGGGUAGGCUAAUUACCCCCUAUCCAUAAAUGAAUUCAUUACUGGCGGACCAUUAUCCAUAAAUGAAUAAACAUAAACAGGAAUGCAGUGGAAGUGGAUGGAUCAAUGAUAUCCAGUACCGGUAGGCAGUUGAGGUAGAGAAAAUAUUGGGUCAUACUUUUCAGUGCUUUUAAAGGCAAUCCCCCUCCCCUCCUCCUUUUUGCUGCAGCUUUAUUAACUGACGUAGUGCUAGAGUAGUAAAGGCAGCAGCAAGAUGGAAGUCCCCUUUUUCCCAACCCUUUUCUCCUGUAUCAAAGGCUUGGUGGUGCAACAAGCCUUGUUCUCAACCUUGGAGGAUUGGCUAGUGAAGCAUCCCAAAAUCCUCCAGUUUUCAUGGGAAAAUGGCCAAACACCAGCCUCCUCUCACCGCUUCCUCACCCUCACUGUCUUGUCUUACAUCUCUUUCACCUUCGUUCUCUCCCAACUAUCUCGCCCUUCACUUUCACGUCCACUCCUCAAAUCAAUCGCAGCCGUCCACAACAUCUUCCUCCUUACCCUUUCUUUCAUCAUGGCCCUGGGUUGCCUCGUUUCCAUCUUCUCCCAGGUGCCUAACUUCAACACCCUCGUUUGCUUCCCUAGGGGUACAUCCCCAUCGGGCCCUCUCUUUUUCUGGGCAUACAUCUUCUACCUCUCCAAGAUUGUUGAAUUCAUGGACACCCUUUUGAUCAUCCUCAGCGGAUCCAUGAAGAGGCUAUCCUUCCUUCACGUCUACCAUCACUCCAUGGUGGUCAUCAUGUGUUAUAUUUGCUUAGACAGUGCUCAGUCCUCCGUACCCAUGGUGCUGAUCACCAACUGCGUGGUGCAUGUCGUAAUGUACUCCUAUUACCUGUUGUGCACCCUGGGGAUGCACCCCAAGUGGAAGAAAAUGGUGACGGAUUUUCAACUGGUGCAGUUCCGGUUAAGCUUUUUGAUCAUGGCCAUGCUUGUGUUCUACCACUUCACUGCUUCUGGCUGCUCUGGGAUUCUGAGUUGGUGUUUCAAUGGAGCCUUCAACGUCUCUCUUCUCUACUUGUUCUCAGACUUUCAUGCCAAGAGUUACUCCACCAAUGCCAAGGUCUUCAAGGGUAACUAAUAAUUAAUUAAACCAACUUUUUUUUGUUUUUCCAUUUCGUUUCCAUUGUUACAUGUAGUAAUUGUUUCAGAGUGAUUCCGUUCAAGCUCAUGAAUCUGGUAUAGAAUCUUAAUUGUGAAAG
This 9970-nucleotide long non-coding RNA is filed under the name Gossypium barbadense (sea-island cotton). Its description in RNAcentral is "long non-coding RNA (GBAR_LNC013095)". The record is from RNAcentral. Lineage: Eukaryota; Viridiplantae; Streptophyta; Magnoliopsida; Malvales; Malvaceae.